RNAcentral lists this long non-coding RNA (299 nucleotides) under Homo sapiens (human). RNAcentral describes it as "HSALNT0266561". The record is from RNAcentral. Lineage: Eukaryota; Metazoa; Chordata; Mammalia; Primates; Hominidae.
GACAACUUCCAGCUUCUCCAGAAGUGGCAAAUAACUUUCCAACUGGGUAUCCACACAGAAAUAUGUGAGCAUGCUUACAUGGCAUGUGCUGCCCCACCUCCCCCUGUGAGGAGCUUGGUUACAGCUACAGCAUUUCUACAACCUCUUUAAACCAACUUUGUAGUAUCCGGCAGCAAAGUAUCAUUCCCUGACAUUCGAGUCAUUGAGUCUCUGAAGACUUGGAAAAGGGAUAAUAAGCCAAAUCAUUCAGGAACCAGGGGGUCCCAGAGAGGUAAGCCUGCACAAAGGAUUGAAAGGGC